RNAcentral lists this ribosomal RNA (497 nucleotides) under uncultured bacterium. Its description in RNAcentral is "partial 16S ribosomal RNA". It matches the Rfam family "Bacterial small subunit ribosomal RNA", at positions 28 to 507 of the family's 1533-position model. The record is from RNAcentral.
GAUGAACGCUGGCGGCGUGCCUAAUACAUGCAAGUCGAGCGAACAGACGAGGAGCUUGCUCCUCUGACGUUAGCGGCGGACGGGUGAGUAACACGUGUAUAACCUCCCUAUAAGACUGGGAUAACUUCGGGAAACCGGAGCUAAUACCGGAUAAUAUCUUGAACCGCAGGGUUCAAUAGUGAAAUACGGUUUUGCUGUCACUUCUAGAUGGAUCCGCGCCGCAUUAGCUAGUUGGUAAGGUACCGGCUUACCAAGGCAACGAUGCGUAGCCGACCUGAGAGGGGGAUCGGCCACACUGGAGCGGAGCCGCGGUCCAGGCGCCUACGGGAGGCAGCAGUAGGGAAUCGUCCGCAGUGGGCGAAAGCCUGACGGAGCAACGCCGAGUGAGUGAUGAAGGUCUUGGGAUCGUAAAACUCUGUUAUUAGGGAAGAACAAAUGUGUAAGGAACUAUGCACGGCUUGACGGUACCUAAUCAGAAAGCCACGGCUAACUACGUG